RNAcentral lists this transfer RNA (75 nucleotides) under bacterium ADurb.Bin425. RNAcentral's name for it is "tRNA-Asn". It matches the Rfam family "tRNA". From Rfam's summary of the family: Transfer RNA (tRNA) molecules are approximately 80 nucleotides in length. Their secondary structure includes four short double-helical elements and three loops (D, anti-codon, and T loops). Further hydrogen bonds mediate the characteristic L-shaped molecular structure. tRNAs have two regions of fundamental functional importance: the anti-codon, which is responsible for specific mRNA codon recognition, and the 3' end, to which the tRNAs corresponding amino acid is attached (by aminoacyl-tRNA synthetases). tRNAs cope with the degeneracy of the genetic code in two manners: having more than one tRNA (with a specific anti-codon) for a particular amino acid; and 'wobble' base-pairing, i.e. permitting non-standard base-pairing at the 3rd anti-codon position. RNAcentral also lists the same sequence under 4 other names. The record is from RNAcentral.
UCCCGAGUAGCGCAGCGGUAGCGCAGGUGACUGUUAAUCACUUGGUCGCUGGUUCGAAUCCAGCCUCGGGAGCCA